RNAcentral lists this ribosomal RNA (384 nucleotides) under Triticum aestivum (bread wheat). Its description in RNAcentral is "partial small subunit ribosomal RNA". The record is from RNAcentral. Lineage: Eukaryota; Viridiplantae; Streptophyta; Magnoliopsida; Poales; Poaceae.
AUGGUGUGCGCGCCGGAGAGGACGACCAGGUCCUCCGCGUUGAGCCCCUUGAUGACGAAGCUAGCGACGAGGUCGUUGAGGUUUGACGUCGGCGGGACCAGGAACUUGAGCGGCUCGGAGGCGUUUGAGAAGGUUCCGUCGCGGCGGCCGGACGGCAUCUCGAAGUUUACGUUGCCCCUGCUGAGGAUGCAGGACGCAUCACGGGCCGCGAAGGCAACGAUGUCUGCACAGGAGACGAUGCCUGGGCAGGCCGCCUCGAGGGCGUCCUUGAUGGCGUCAAUCAGCUCGAAGCCGCGCAGGGAAGGGUCGUUCGGCGGGCUGAGUUUCUCCGGUGUCGGGCUGAACGGAGUCGGGUCCAGGAGGACGGAAGCAUCACAGCCCUAA